CACGCCGUAAACGAUGAUAGCUCGCUGUUGGCGAUACACAGCCAGCGGCUAAGCGAAAGCGGUAAGCUAUCCACCUGGGGAGUACGGCCGCAAGGCUGAAACUCAAAGGAAUUGACGGGGGCCCGCACAAGCGGAGGAACAUGUGGUUUAAUUCGAUGAUACGCGAGGAACCUUACCCGGGCUAGAACGCCGAGCGAAUAUGGGGGAAACCCCAUAGCCAGCAAUGGCGGUCGGCGAGGUGCUGCAUGGUUGUCGUCAGCUCGUGCCGUGAGGUGUCGGCUUGAGUGCCAUAACGAGCGCAACCCCUAUCGGUAGUUGCCAGCGGGUCAAGCCGGGAACUCUACCGAAACUGCCAGCGUAAGCUGUGAGGAAGGCGGGGAUGACGUCAAAUCAGCACGGCCCUUACGUCCGGGGCGACACACGUGUUACAAUGGCCGGUACAGAGGGCAGCGACUGGGCGACCAGGAGCGAAUCUCCAAAGCCGGUCUCAGUUCGGAUCGGAGUCUGUAACCCGACUCCGUGAAGCUGGAUUCGCUAGUAAUCGCGCAUCAGCCACGGCGCGGUGAAUACGUUCCCGGGCCUUGUACACACCGCCCGUCAAGCCAUGGGAGCUGGAAGGACCUGAAGUCCGCGACCGCAAGGAGCGGCCUAGGGUAAAGCCGGUGACUGGGGCUAAGUCGUAACAAGGUAACCA
Molecule: ribosomal RNA, 694 nt
Filed under: bacterium
Lineage: Bacteria
Description: bacterial SSU rRNA
Rfam family: Bacterial small subunit ribosomal RNA
Source: RNAcentral